Molecule: ribosomal RNA, 495 nt
Filed under: uncultured bacterium
Lineage: Bacteria
Description: partial 16S ribosomal RNA
Rfam family: Bacterial small subunit ribosomal RNA
Source: RNAcentral
GACGAACGGGGGAGGAGGGAGGCAUACAGGCAAGUAGAACGCUGAAGGAGGAGCUUGCUUCUCUGGAUGAGUUGCGAACGGGUGAGUAACGCGUAGGUAACCUGCCUGGUAGCGGGGGAUAACUAUUGGAAACGAUAGCUAAUACCGCAUAAGAGUAGAUGUUGCAUGACAUUUACUUAAAAGGUGCAAUUGCAUCACUACCAGAUGGACCUGCGUUGUAUUAGCUAGUUGGUGAGGUAACGGCUCACCAAGGCAACGAUACAUAGCCGACCUGAGAGGGUGAUCGGCCACACUGGGACUGAGACACGGCCCAGACUCCUACGGGAGGCAGCCGUAGGGAAUCUUCGGCAAUGGACGGAAGUCUGACCGAGCAACGCCGCGUGAGUGAAGAAGGUUUUCGGAUCGUAAAGCUCUGUUGUAAGAGAAGAACGAGUGUGAGAGUGGAAAGUUCACACUGUGACGGUAUCUUACCAGAAAGGGACGGCUAACUACGUG